Long non-coding RNA from Oncorhynchus keta (chum salmon), 491 nucleotides. RefSeq lists it as uncharacterized. The transcript has 3 exons. NCBI's taxonomy places the organism in Eukaryota, Metazoa, Chordata, Actinopteri, Salmoniformes, Salmonidae. The record is from RefSeq and is a predicted model, not a curated record.
CCAAGAAAGAUAAAAAUGAGAAAACAUAAUAACAGAUUGUAUAGGGCCUUAGAGCUGUUUAUUAACUAGGUAUAUUGACAGAAAACAUAACAGAUUGUAUAGGGCCUUAGAGCUGUUUAUUAUACAGGUAUAUUGACAGAAAACAUAACAGAUUGUAUAGGGCCUUAGAGCUGUUUAUUAACUAGGUAUAUUUACAGAAAACAUAACAGAUUUUAUAGGGCCUUAGAGCUGUUUAUUAACUAGGUAUAUUGACAGAAAACAUAACAGAUUGUAUAGGGCCUUAGAGCUGUUUAUUAUACAGGUAUAUUGACAGAAAACAUAAUAACAGAUUGUAUAGGGCCUUAGAGCUGUUUAUUAACUAGGUAUAUUGACAGAAAACAUAACAGAUUGUAUAGGGCCUUAGAGCUGUUUAUUAUACAGGUAUAUUGACAGAAAACAUAACAGAUUGUAUAGGGCCUUAGAGCUGUUUAUUAUAUAGGUAUAUUGACAGA